RNAcentral lists this ribosomal RNA (253 nucleotides) under uncultured bacterium. RNAcentral's name for it is "partial 16S ribosomal RNA". It matches the Rfam family "Bacterial small subunit ribosomal RNA", at positions 524 to 776 of the family's 1533-position model. The record is from RNAcentral.
UACGUACCGUCCAAACGUUAUUCGGAAUCACUGGGCUUAAAGAGUUCGUAGGCGGCUCAGAAAGUUGGGUGUGAAAUCCCCCGGCUCAACCGGGGAAUGGCGCUCAAUACUGCUGAGCUUGAGGGAGAUAGAGGUGAGCGGAACUGAUGGUGGAGCGGUGAAAUGCGUUGAUAUCAUCAGGAACACCGGAGGCGAAGGCGGCUCACUGGGUCUUACCUGACGCUGAGGAACGAAAGCUAGGGGAGCGAACGGG